UAAGUCUUCGGAUUUAGAGACCGGCGCACGGGUGCGUAACGCGUGUGCAAUCUACCUUUCACAAAGGAAUAGCCCAGAGAAAUUUGGAUUAAUGCCUUAUAGUAUAACGAGUUCGCAUGGAUUUGUUAUUAAAGAUUUAUCGGUGAAAGAUGAGCAUGCGUCCCAUUAGCUUGUUGGUAAGGUAACGGCUUACCAAGGCUACGAUGGGUAGGGGUCCUGAGAGGGAGAUCCCCCACACUGGUACUGAGACACGGACCAGACUCCUACGGGAGGCAGCAGUGAGGAAUAUUGGACAAUGGGCGCAAGCCUGAUCCAGCCAUGCCGCGUGCAGGAUGACGGUCCUAUGGAUUGUAAACUGCUUUUGUACAGGAAGAAACACUCGGACGUGUCCGAGCUUGACGGUACUGUAAGAAUAAGGAUCGGCUAACUCCGUGCCAGCAGCCGCGGUAAUACGGAGGAUCCAAGCGUUAUCCGGAAUCAUUGGGUUUAAAGGGUCCGUAGGCGGUUUAAUAAGUCAGUGGUGAAAGCCCAUCGCUCAACGGUGGAACGGCCAUUGAUACUGUUAAACUUGAAUUAUUAGGAAGUAACUAGAAUAUGUAGUGUAGCGGUGAAAUGCUUAGAGAUUACAUGGAAUACCAAUUGCGAAGGCAGGUUACUACUAAUGGAUUGACGCUGAUGGACGAAAGCGUGGGUAGCGAACAGGAUUAGAUACCCUGGUAGUCCACGCCGUAAACGAUGGAUACUAGCUGUUGGGAGCAAUCUCAGUGGCUAAGCGAAAGUGAUAAGUAUCCCACCUGGGGAGUACGUUCGCAAGAAUGAAACUCAAAGGAAUUGACGGGGGCCCGCACAAGCGGUGGAGCAUGUGGUUUAAUUCGAUGAUACGCGAGGAACCUUACCAAGGCUUAAAUGUAGUUUGACCAAUUUGGAAACAGAUCUUUCGCAGACAAAUUACAGGUGCUGCAUGGUUGUCGUCAGCUCGUGCCGUGAGUGUCAGUAGUCCUAUACGAGCGCACCCCUGUGUAGUUGCCAGCGAGUC
This 1036-nucleotide ribosomal RNA is filed under the name uncultured bacterium. RNAcentral's name for it is "bacterial SSU rRNA". It matches the Rfam family "Bacterial small subunit ribosomal RNA", at positions 73 to 1127 of the family's 1533-position model. The record is from RNAcentral.